This is a long non-coding RNA of Bombina bombina (fire-bellied toad), 319 nucleotides long. RefSeq lists it as uncharacterized. The transcript is spliced from 3 exons. The record is from RefSeq and is a predicted model, not a curated record. NCBI's taxonomy places the organism in Eukaryota, Metazoa, Chordata, Amphibia, Anura, Bombinatoridae.
GGUCCUUCUUCAGAAAAAAACAGUUGAAUGUUUGAAAUGGAAAAGUUGAAUUUGAAGUUAUAAUAAUUGUUGGUACUAUUUUGAAACCUGUCCUUGAAGUUUUUCUGCUGCCUUUGUGGAGAUUUGAGUCCUCCUUUACAGAAAUAAAGUUUAUUGUGUGAAACGUUUAAAAUUCAUCAAGAAUUACUUGAAAGUUGAAGUUAGAAUUAUUUUGAAGCUUUGCUGCAACCUGUAUAGAGAUUUAAGCGCAUAUCAUUAUUAGCUGUGACCUGCUGUAUGGCCAUGUCUGAUCUGGAAAGUACCACUGUUGAUGAUAACG